CUCCGCGCUUGCCCUCGACUCCCAGCUCCCUCCUCAGCGAGGGUAGCGCGGGAGGUCAAACAGUAUAAACAUGCUUGUAAACUUAAGAGAGUCCAAGAAAUCCUUCGAAACAGACAAGUGGGCAAUUCCCCUUUCUGUAUGGAAUUCUCCCUGUGAUCACAGGAUAGCCCUAAAUAAAGAAAAGCUGGCUCUGUCAGUUCUGAUUCAACUACAACGCGAAGUUUGAUUUCUUCCACAAUUUGGUGCCGUGACUCGGAUAGAGACACCUGGAGUGAUCGGUUGGAACACAGACAUCUCUUCACUGAAGGCCUGGCACCAAACCAAGCUUUUCAUUCACAGGAACAGGCAGCUCUCCCCAAAGAACCAGAUGAGCCAUGCCAUUCUAUCCUGCCUGAAGAUUGGGUCCAUAUAAAAGUCCAUCAACGAAAGUCAUUGCUGGAACCUUGCUGGAAAGGCCCAUUCCAGGAACUCCUGACCACCAACACUGCAAUAAAGUGUCGAUUCCAAACAUGGAUCCAUACUUCACACAGUAAGAAAACAUCAGCCCCGUUAGACCCAGAGUCUUCUCCAUAUCAAUCUUGUAAUCAGUCUCCACAAACCGGUAGUGAGCCUAGUGCUUGCCAGCAGGAGAGCUCAAGACCAGUAGUAAGCCAAGCGCCUACUGGCAAAGAGGAUUUGCCACUACAGAGCGAAAAGGAUGUGCCCCAACAAUACCACCAUGCUCUUUGGGACAGGAAAAAGGCCUCUACCUAGUUCCUGACGUGGAGUUGGUUAGUUGUGAUUUGGGUAGUUCUCAGUAUUUCUUUUUGGGCUAUCUUAUAUGAACUGACUCAUCAGUUAUAAGAAACUCUGUAAACCAAACUAUACUCCCACACCAACAAA
This 882-nucleotide long non-coding RNA is filed under the name Crocodylus porosus (Australian saltwater crocodile). RNAcentral's name for it is "lncRNA (ENSCPRG00005006425.1)". Lineage: Eukaryota; Metazoa; Chordata; Crocodylia; Crocodylidae. The record is from RNAcentral.